UACGUAGGGUGCGAGCGUUAAUCGGAAUUACUGGGCGUAAAGCGUGCGCAGGCGGCGCGUUAAGUCAGGUGUGAAAGCCCCGAGCUUAACUUGGGAAUUGCGCUUGUGACUGGCGUGCUGGAGUGUGGCAGAGGGAGGUGGAAUUCCACGUGUAGCAGUGAAAUGCGUAGAGAUGUGGAGGAACACCGAUGGCGAAGGCAGCCUGCUGGGCCAGCACUGACGCUCAUGCACGAAAGCGUGGGGAGCAAACAGG
Molecule: ribosomal RNA, 253 nt
Filed under: uncultured bacterium
Lineage: Bacteria
Description: partial 16S ribosomal RNA
Rfam family: Bacterial small subunit ribosomal RNA
Source: RNAcentral